UAUCCCCAAAAGGAGCGUUAUAAUGCCGCUGGUGCAUUUCAUAAUCUCAAGGUCCAGCUCUUACUGCAAAUAUUAUGGAUUAACACAAAGAUAUACCAUACAAAACAAUAAGAAAAACUUUUUUAAGGUCAAAGCCAAAACCCAGGUUAUGGAUUCACUAGUAAAGCUGUAUCUUAAGAAUAAAAACUAUAAUAAAAUAUAAUAUUUAUAUCCCCAAAAGGAAUGUUAUAACGCCGCUGGUGCAUUUCAUAAUCUUAAAGUCCAGCUCUUGCUGCAAAUAUCAAGGAUUAACACAAAGAUAUGUCAUACACAACAACAAGAAAAACUAUUGUUAAGGUCAAAGCCAAAAUCCCUGUUAUGCAUUCACUAAUAAAGCUGUAUCUUAAGAAUAAAAACUAUAAUAAAUGAUGAUAUUAAUAUCCCCAAAAGGUAUAACAUUUUAUUUAAAAAUAUUAUUAAAAUAUUAUGUUGUGAUAGGAGUGUUUUGACGCGGGCUGCUACAUUCCAUAAUCCUUCAUUUGUGAAUCUUCCAAUGAAUCAUGGUGCUGUCAUUUUAGAUUCUGAACGGAGCGACGAUAGUAUUGGUUUUACAAUGAAAUGUUUUUUUUUUUUUAUUUUCAUUUUUUGUGUAUACACAAUUAGUAGUCGAUGCAAUGCUUUGAUUUUCAACUUUAAUAUCUUGAGUAUUGUAGGUUAUAUUAUAAAACAUAAAGUAAUACUGUUGCCAUGUCCUAAAUUCUUGUACGCCUAAUCCAGGUAAUAUUAGGUAUAUAUAACUCGGAGAUCAAUAGUCACUUUAAUCCAAAAUUUUAACUUAAUACUUUGAUUCUUUCCAAAAAUGUGUAAUUAACUAACGUCAAAUAAAUUACCUACGGUACUUU
Long non-coding RNA from Acyrthosiphon pisum (pea aphid), 881 nucleotides. RefSeq lists it as uncharacterized. The transcript is spliced from 5 exons. Lineage: Eukaryota; Metazoa; Arthropoda; Insecta; Hemiptera; Aphididae. The record is from RefSeq and is a predicted model, not a curated record.